RNAcentral lists this ribosomal RNA (253 nucleotides) under uncultured bacterium. RNAcentral's name for it is "partial 16S ribosomal RNA". It matches the Rfam family "Bacterial small subunit ribosomal RNA", at positions 524 to 776 of the family's 1533-position model. The record is from RNAcentral.
UACGUAGGGUGCGAGCGUUAAUCGGAAUUACUGGGCGUAAAGCGUGCGCAGGCGGUUCGUUAAGUCAGAUGUGAAAGCCCCGGGCUCAACCUGGGAACUGCAUUUGAAACUGGCGGGCUUGAGUGUGGCAGAGGAAGGUGGAAUUCCACGUGUAGCGGUGAAAUGCGUAGAGAUGUGGAGGAACACCGAUGGCGAAGGCAGCCUUCUGGGCCAACACUGACGCUCAUGCACGAAAGCGUGGGGAGCAAACAGG